This 356-nucleotide ribosomal RNA is filed under the name uncultured bacterium. RNAcentral's name for it is "partial 16S ribosomal RNA". It matches the Rfam family "Bacterial small subunit ribosomal RNA", at positions 338 to 691 of the family's 1533-position model. The record is from RNAcentral.
CCUACGGGUGGCAGCAGUGAGGAAUAUUGGUCAAUGGACGCAAGUCUGAACCAGCCAUGCCGCGUGCAGGAAGACGGCUCUAUGAGUUGUAAACUGCUUUUGUACGAGGGUAAACGCAGAUACGCGUAUCUGUCUGAAAGUAACGUACGAAUAAGGAUCGGCUAACUCCGUGCCAGCAGCCGCGGUAAUACGGAGGAUUCAAGCGUUAUCCGGAUUUAUUGGGGUGAAAGGGUGCGUAGGCGGUCGGAUACGUGAGAGGUGAAAACCCGAGGCUCAACUUCGGAAUUGCCUCUGAUACUGUUCGGCUAGUGUGUAGUUGCGGUAGGCGGACUGUUUGGUGUAGCGGUGACAUGCUU